This 484-nucleotide ribosomal RNA is filed under the name uncultured bacterium. RNAcentral describes it as "partial 16S ribosomal RNA". It matches the Rfam family "Bacterial small subunit ribosomal RNA", at positions 30 to 507 of the family's 1533-position model. The record is from RNAcentral.
AUUGAACGCUGGCGGAAUGCUUUACACAUGCAAGUCGAACGGCAGCACGGGGGCAACCCUGGUGGCGAGUGGCGAACGGGUGAGUAAUACAUCGGAACGUGCCCGGUCGUGGGGGAUAACGUAGCGAAAGUUACGCUAAUACCGCAUACGAUCUGAGGAUGAAAGCGGGGGACCUUCGGGCCUCGCGCGAUCGGAGCGGCCGAUGUCAAAUUAGGUAGUUGGUGGGGUAAAGGCCUACCAAGCCGACGAUCUGUAGCUGGUCUGAGAGGACGACCAGCCACACUGGGACGGAGACACGGCCCAGACUCCUACGGGAGGCAGCAGUGGGGAAUUUUGGACAAUGGGCGCAAGCCUGAUCCAGCCAUUCCGCGUGCAGGACGAAGGCCUUCGGGUUGUAAACUGCUUUUGUAUGGAACGAAAAGGCUCUGGCUAAUACCUGGGGCUCAUGACGGUACCGUAAGAAUAAGCACCGGCUAACUACGUG